UGGGGAAUAUUGCACAAUGGGCGAAAGCCUGAUGCAGCGACGCCGCGUGAGUGAAGAAGUAUUUCGGUAUGUAAAGCUCUAUCAGCAGGGAAGAAAAUGACGGUACCUGACUAAGAAGCCCCGGCUAACUACGUGCCAGCAGCCGCGGUAAUACGUAGGGGGCAAGCGUUAUCCGGAUUUACUGGGUGUAAAGGGAGUGUAGGUGGCAUAACAAGUCAGAAGUGAAAGCCCGGGGCUCAACCCCGGGACUGCUUUUGAAACUGUUAGGCUUGAGUGCAGGAGAGGUAAGCGGAAUUCCUAGUGUAGCGGUGAAAUGCGUAGAUAUUAGGAGGAACACCAGUGGCGAAGGCGGCUUACUGGACUGUAACUGACACUGAGGCUCGAAAGCGUGGGGAGCAAACAGG
RNAcentral lists this ribosomal RNA (404 nucleotides) under uncultured bacterium. Its description in RNAcentral is "bacterial SSU rRNA". It matches the Rfam family "Bacterial small subunit ribosomal RNA", at positions 355 to 776 of the family's 1533-position model. The record is from RNAcentral.